AAAAGCUCCAGGUUGUAAUUUGUCAAUCAUUUUAUAUUUUAAUUCAUGAAACUUAAUAUUUUUCUAACUUACUUAUUAUAUUCAGCUGAUUGGUGGGAGUCGUAUGGAGAUGAAUGUCUGGAGCUACAAAGGUUCAUACAAAGAAGAGAAAUCGGUUGCAUCAACAAAGAAUGAAUGAUCUUGUUUUUGUGAUGUACAAUUUGAAGUUAAAGCGUAGACAAUAGAAACGAGCAAGCAAGUUUGUGAUACAACAACCUAUAAUUUUGGAUGAAUUGCAAUCUGAUGAUGAAUAGAUUACUGAAAUAGAGGAACCCGUUCUUCCGACGGGUGGAGAAUGGUUUGAUGAACUCGAUCGAGCGGCUAGAAGAUUCACUAGACAAGCAAUACGAGAUGAGAAUGAAAGCUUGUACAGAGAAGUACAAGAUAAUGUGGUUGAAGUCCAAACAUUAAGUGAUGAUGAUGAUCCUGCUGAAGGAAAUGAGGCUGCUGCAACUUUUAUUGGCUCUAAUGAAAUUGAUUUGGAUGAUUUUGGAGUUGUUGAUGAUACCGAUGUUAGAGGGACUACCACAGGAAUUGAUAUAGGAAGUGAUGAUGUAGAUGGCGGUAGUUUUGGCUUUGAUGAUUAUUAAUUAAUUUCAAUUUAUUUUCUAAGAAUGAUUUGUAAUUACUACUAAUUAGUGCUUUGCACUAUUCUAAACAUCAUUAUCAUUAUAAAAUUUAGCUUUAGAUAGAUAAGUUUGACAAUAUUGUCAUUUUCUUAGGUUAUAUGUAAAAAAAAAUGUAUUUAAUAUCAUGAUUUACAUAAAAAAUGAGUAAAUAAGUGAAACAG
This is a long non-coding RNA of Chenopodium quinoa (quinoa), 829 nucleotides long. RefSeq lists it as uncharacterized. Lineage: Eukaryota; Viridiplantae; Streptophyta; Magnoliopsida; Caryophyllales; Amaranthaceae. The transcript is spliced from 3 exons. The record is from RefSeq and is a predicted model, not a curated record.